UGCUUCCCUCUCCUUCCUCGCCUCAGGUGUUUUCUGUCACUUCUUGUUGAAUUCCCGUGUUCUGUCUUAGAUGAUUUAUUGGAAGCAUGAUUAUCUACUUGCUGUGUUGGUUCCUCUCUGUGGAGUAGGCGGGUAUCAGAUGUCCUCAGUCAGCCAUCUUGAGGCCCCUCCUUCUUUGUUAAAUCUUAUGGAUUCAAACUGAGGUUUUGCGAGAAACAGAAACAGCUUUAGCUUCCCACGGGCUCAGAACAGACCCUAGGACCCUGUAAGGCUCACCUACCUCCUUUUAGAUAACUUAGUGCCAGCUUAGCUAUCAGUGAGUACAACUAGAGAUGAGGAAGCAGGCCCAGAGAUGGGGCCUCACUUACCCCAGGUCACACAGCAGAGCCAACCCUGUAGCCUAGGGCUUUUGACCAGGUCCCUGCUCUCUCGUCUCAGGGUGAUUGCUAGCUCCACACUCACACCGCCCAAAUGCUGAGGAGAUGAACCCUGAUGUAGGCCGAGGCCUCUGGGUGCUCACUGUCCCUGUCUCUGAAAGGUCAGCUGUUCCUGAAAGGAACCCUUCCAGCCUUCUAUUUCCAGCACAGUCUUUUCCUCCACAUUGAUUGCCUUCUGUUGAGCAGACCAGAUUGAGGAGAUCGAUGACAUUAAUUUGCACUGAGAAGAAGUUGGUGAUUUUCCUCCUUCAGCUGUGACAAGGCUGCCUGAGGCUUUUGGUCAGAAAAAGAUGCCAGCUUUAAAAAAUCUCUGCAGAAGUUUUCUCAGAAGAAUCGCAGAAUCUUGGAGCAGGAAGAAGCUUCCAGAAGACUUAAUUUUAUCCAAUUUCUUCACGGCGGAUGAAGGCACACGGAGCCCACAGUAUGGAAAGAGUGUGCCUCAGGAAACAGAGCUGAACACUUGCUCUUUUCAUGUUUUCCUCUUUUAUCUGGACCUUGGCCCCCCGGGUAGGAGGCACCUGGGGCUGGCUGAGGCACAGGAUGAGUGGAGAGGAAGGCUCUGUGGGAGCCACUCCCAUAGCCCAGGUGAGAUGUGAUGGGGUCUGGGCUCAGGCAGUUGUUGGAUGGAUGGGGAGGAUGAAGGUUAAACAAAGAUAAUUGUGAGACAGAAUCGAUGGGGUAUAGUGACUGGUUACAUGUGUGAGUUGGAGGAGGGAUGGAGUUCGGGGCUUCUGUUUUGGUUGCUGGCUGAAUGGCUAUUGCUGCCCAGGACCAGGAAAGUAUAAGAGGUGGUGAGCAAGGAAGUGGUGGCAUUUCAGAGGGGUGAGCAAUGAGCUUUGGAUGUGUUAUGGGACGUCCAGAGGAGGCUGCUAGGUAGUGAGAUGUAGGCCUGAAGCUCAGAGCACAGGACUGAGCAGGAGAUGUAGCAUUUCUCCAACAUGUUCUGGACGCUGAACCUGUGGGAAGGAGGAUUUGCAGGGGCGAGUUCACGGCCAGGUAAAGCGGAGUCCGAGUUGAUUCCCGGGCCAUGCUCUUUCCACUAAACCGUAUGCCCAAGGGAAGAUAACAAGGAUCACAGGCCAAUUCCCAGAGAAGGUUUAUGUCCCCAGUUUUCACAGUCAUUUCCUUCUUUGACUAGCAUUGCGUAUAUUGGUAGAUAUGACACUGUCCCUCCCUGCUGACACUGAUGAGCAUGGGUUCUUUGGAGCAGUGAGUCUGAUGUUUUCUGGUCUUGGUAAAAUGAUUCCUUGGAGUUGAUGAGAGGGCUUGGACGAAGUGGGUACAGACAUGGCUGGCACCUCAAUCUCCCACCAUUCCAGGGACUCCAGGCCGGGCAAAGCGUCUCCAGAUUUCUCUGACCCCCUUCCCACCCAGGCAGGCCCAGGUCCACAAAGAGGGGAUAGAGCUAUCCACUGAAGGGCUAAGUGGCUUUCUCUGGUGUCCUGAAUACAGUAUUAAGAACCAGGCAUUAAGAACCAUUGUCAGUAAUUUGUCACCUUGAUUUCUCUCCAGCUGUUUGGUAAUUCAUGUUAAGUCCCAAGUGAGUAUGUGUGCUGGUUCCUGGCAGGAUUCAAAGAAUAGAGGUCAAAAGAAAAUAAAAGCCUUUCUGGGAUUUCUUAGAUCAGGUGGCUUAACCUUUUGAAAAAGAUUUUUCAAUAACUCACUCCAGAUUUAGCAGAGAUUCCGUUCGGAAGGAUUCUGGCGAAACAGCGUGAGUUGACAACUCUGCUUCUGAAUAGUACAUUAUUUAUUCAGUGCCAGCCACGAGCCCGGCAGGUGAUGAGCUAAACUAAACUUGCUGGCACACACACGCAGAACUCAGGAACAGCAGAGUGAUGGCAGCCUCAUCUCAAAGUGGCUCCUUCAAGGAGGAGGACUAAGAGUGUUAAGCUUCUUGAUUCUCAGAAUGCUUGCUCUGGAAGAAGCCAGCUGCCGUGUAAGAAAUCAGAUGUCUCUGAGACCACCAUGCUGUGAGAGGCCACGACUGCCACAUGCAGAGGCUACAUGGAGAGAGAGAGAGAGAGGAGAGGGACAGAGAGAGAGAUGCUCAGCCAUCCCCGAGCCAAGGCAUAAACACAUGAGUGAGGAAGCCAGGUUGGAUGUUCCCACCCCCUCCGGUCCUCAGAUGACACCAGCCUCAGCUGCCAUCUGACUGCAACCAGAAGAGGCACCCAGAAAGACCUGCCCAGCUGAGCCCAGUCAAUCCUUAGAACAAUGAGAAGUAAUA
RNAcentral lists this long non-coding RNA (2664 nucleotides) under Homo sapiens (human). RNAcentral's name for it is "HSALNT0066875". The record is from RNAcentral. Lineage: Eukaryota; Metazoa; Chordata; Mammalia; Primates; Hominidae.